RNAcentral lists this long non-coding RNA (1036 nucleotides) under Felis catus (domestic cat). RNAcentral's name for it is "lncRNA (ENSFCAG00000044556.2)". The record is from RNAcentral. Lineage: Eukaryota; Metazoa; Chordata; Mammalia; Carnivora; Felidae.
UUAAAAUGGAAUAGUCCUCAGUAAUUGCCCACUUUGAAAUGUCUUUAAACCAGCUCGUUUUGUGUUCUUGACUUUGCAGGGACCGAAAAAAAGAAAGAACGUGAAGUAACUAUGUCUUAAAGGAGAACAAACGUACAAGUUUUAUUUUAGUCCCGGUGCAAGACACAGUCACGGGCACUCGGGGCGACUCUGAGGUCUUCGGUCAGUGCUCCUCGAAGCCCUACGAAGCCACCCCUCUACAGCCUGCCGUCCCCACCUUCAUGUAACAACACAAGCGCUUGAGAUUUGACAUGAGAAAGGUGCCUCGAUGUGAUCAUGGAUCAAAGUUCCCCACGCUUUGGGUUUAGGAUGAGGUAAGGAGGCUUGGGAAUCCAAGAGUAGAGAGAAAGGGGCUGCGACAGAGGUGUGGACAGUCCAGGAUCAACCAGGAUCGGCCCCGGGCCAUCAAGGGACCGUGCUGGUCACUAGGCAGAGAGAGCUCCAGAGCCUUCAGCAGGACACCAGCGAGUCACAUGGACCCACACCUGCCUCAGGGGUCAGCACCAGCGUGACAAAAAGCCCUGUUACUGCAGAUAUCUUCCAGCUUAUCAAACACCCUGUGAAACACAGCGAGUGGAACCACGUGUGUGCCCUGCCAGCAAAGUCGGGUGAAAACGGUGACACUGAGUUGGAAAAGAGUCUCUCCUGCAUGAGAUUCCACGUCUGGAUCACACCGCACCCUGGCGACGGCCACGGCUGGAGCAGACGUCACAGGGGCUGGCGGGCGCCUCGAGAAACCCAACACAGAUCACCGUUCUUGCUGCAGAGGGACAAAUUGGCCCUGGGUUCCUCUCUGCCUCUGUAGACAUAGAUUUGGAGGGACAAGGAAAGGGUAAAAAUAACAACAACAAAAAAAGAUGAGCUGGUACUUAGCAGUUGAAAUAUAGCAUUGAUCUAGUUUGUAUUUAUAAUGUGUUAAGUAUUAACACAUGAGAAAAAUAUUAAAGUGAGGUAUUUAUUAGAAGACCUAUAAAUAAAAGAACAACAUGUGCACUCA